Vespula vulgaris is the source of this 9885-nucleotide long non-coding RNA. RefSeq lists it as uncharacterized. The transcript has 2 exons. The record is from RefSeq and is a predicted model, not a curated record. NCBI's taxonomy places the organism in Eukaryota, Metazoa, Arthropoda, Insecta, Hymenoptera, Vespidae.
UUUUUCUUUUUUUUUUUCUUCUUUUUUUAACGAAACGAAACGAAACGAGCGAAUCGAUUUUCUUCAUUCUCUUUUUCGUUCAACUAUUAUCGGGCUUAUCGUUCGCCCUUUACGGCUCCCUUUUCUUGCACUUUUUAUUACCCGAACUAACAUACCGAUAACUUUACGAGCGCUGAGGUCUCACGACUUUUUACGGGCCCGUUGAAACUUUAUAAAUCGUUAUCGCGCGACGAAAGUAUGAACGAUCAGAGGCACAGAGAGAGUACAGCGAGAGGAGCUCGAAGGAGGAGUUUUCCACCUCCUCCUUCUCCUCCUCUUUCACGAAUCGAUAUGCUGGCCUGGUCGUUUCGUGCAUCGAACGACCGCAUUGCGAUUCGUAGGCAGAGCGGAAAGUACUUAGUACUCGAGAUAGCCCUUCGCAACUAUCUCGACCUAUAUUCUUUUCCAAUUUUUUUUCUCUCUCUCUCUCUCUAUCUCCAUAUCUCUAUAUCUCUAUCUCUAUCUCUAUCUCACAAAGAGAGUACAUCUUUUCAAAUUAUUACAAACACUUUUAACAUACGUACGUAUAUAUGUACGUUCUGAAAAUUUCUUUUGAAUUCAACAAUUUGUUCUGAAUAGCUUAUUCAAAGUACUAAAACGGCACUGUAAUUUUCUUUAACGCGUUUGUCCUCUUUGACCUAUGCCGGAAUAAUCGAGAUCAUCUCGUUGAUCAAAUUCGCGUUGCAUGCUGUAUCGCAUUCAUUAAACGUGCCGGGAGCGUGCGCGUUACUACAUAUCGAGCUAUCUCUCACUCUCACUCUCUCUCUCUCUCUCUCUCGACGGCCUCGAAACGAGCUGAAUUUAGUCGCUAAAUUACAAGUGACAACGACACGCGCCACUUUAUAACGUUUUCUCUUCGUAGUUUACCGUAGUACAUGCAUACGUAUUAAUCGUUCGCGAAUGAAUUUUCCACGGACGUUCUUUAUCGGGAAAAAAAGGAAAAAGAAUAAUUGUUAAUAUUUUUUUCUUCUUUACACAUACAUACAUACAUACAUACAUACAUACAUACAUAUAUAUAUAUAUAUAUAUAUAUACAUGUAUAUACAUAUAUAAACACACACGCGCACCUAUAUUAACGAUCGACUUUAAUUACUAGAUUCCCGUGCCCGUCGGUGCAAGGGUCAGAAAAUUGGUUCGAUCGAAUCUAUAUAUAGGAAGAAAUGUUUAACCGACAUUGGGAGCUCUCUAUGCCGUACUAGAUUUUACUUUGCCUUCAUUUCCGGGUAUAUCAAAACGUUCGUUGGUUCGUACGAUAGGACGAAACGGUAAUAUUCGUACGAGUUAGGAGGGUGAGGGAACGAGAUAGAUAGAUAGAUAGAGAUACAAACAGAGAGAUAGAAACAGAUAGAGAGAGAACGUUAGAUAGAGAAAGAGAAGACAGAGAGAAACAGAGAAAGAGAAAGAAGAAAGUUUUAUCCGAGGAAUAGCAUACGUCAAAGGAAUUACACGAAGGGUCAGCCGUAGUAGAACAUAACCGCCCAGUCGAAUCGUUUUAGUAUGCACGGUCACGCGCAACGAUUUAGCGCGGCCACCCUACUAGAUAAGGCACAUCGUUGGAGGUAGUAGUAGAAAGAGAAAGAAUGAGAGAGAGAGAGAAAGAGGAAGAAAGAGAGAGAAGUGGGCGUCGUAGAAGAACGGCCUGGAAAAAGGGGUUGUAAAGGCAGCGACCGCCGUUGGUCGUUACGUAGGCGGUGCAUCCUAAAGAGAAAGAAAGAGAGAGGGUGAGAGAUGAAUAGAUAGAUAGAUAGAGAAAGAGAAUGAGAGAAAUAGGAACGUGCACGAAAGUCCUUGACUCUUCAAACCUACCCCUUCCCCCUUCGGCCUUAAACGAACCUUAAACGAAAUUGAAUCACUUAACGAGAACAAAGAGCACCUGCAGUUCGGCCUUUAACUCGUUGUUUACCCGCCAUCAUUGUUCUUUCGGUAAUCUCGCAAAUCUCGUUAACCCUCUCAAUUCUCUCUCUCUCUCUCUCUCUCUCUUUCUCUCUUUCUCUUUCUCUUUCUCUUUCUCUUUCUUGCUCCCUUCAUUUCAUCAAACCAUUCGUUCGCUUAGAUCCGUGAAAACUUCUUAACGCGAGAAUUCGCCGUUUUACUUGAAUUCAUCCCUCCUGAUAUUCAACGUACUUAAUAAUUAAUUAAUUUACACUUACUUAUCUAUUCAGUUUUUACCUGAAGAAUAUGUACUUACUCACUCACAUUGAAUUCGAUCGUGUUUGAAAAUAAAUGAGUAUUCGAUCGUUCCUAAGUUAAAGAUAAGAUGGACCAUCAUCGUUCGGUAUCGAGGGUGAAAGGCGAGGGUGAGAGAGAGUUGUAUAGGUACUUCGAUUUCGUUACAAAAUGCCGAACGAUCGGACUUUUAUUUACGGUGAGGCUAGUGAGAUGGAAAGAAGAACAAAACAAAAAAAUACGAAAGAUAAAAAAAAAGAAAGUUAGAUAUUGGACCAUUGCCAAACGUUAUUGGGAAGUAAAGGGUGGUGGAAAUGAUGGGGGUAGGAGUAGGGGGUGGAAAAGAGGGGAAUGAACGACGAUGGAGAAGAGAUCUUCUUUCUUCGCGUUAUCGACGUCAAAUGAAUACGUGUUUAUCGACGUAAUAUUCCCUCUUGGCCACAAAAAGAAAAGAAAAGGAAAGAAAAGGAAAAGAAAUGGUCGCUCGUUUGCGAAACGCUGCAAAGAUAGGUGUCGCGCGACCGAUAUCGAAGAGAAAAAGAAAGGUUUUUUAUUGACGAGAGAACGAGACGAGGGAUGGGAAAAAACAUUUUUAUUAGAAGACAGAGGACAGACAGCGAGCCAAUAGAAAAGAAAGAGAUCGAGCGAGUAGUCACUUUUCUCGUCCUUCCAAAGAUUCUCCUUCUCGCUCAUUAAGUUCGAACGUUUCUCGCGUGCGACCGACGAACAACACGGAAAAGGCAGCAACGCCCGUCAGGAGAGAUAAGACCUUCUCUUCAACUCCCCCACCCACCCUCUCCCUUCUCCCUCUCUUUGCCUUCGCCUUCGCCUUCCCUCGACGAAGGCGAAGGUCGUUAUCGUUGAGAUGCUCGAGGCUUUCUCUCUCUCUCUUUCUCUCUCUCUCUCUCUGUCUAUCUCUAUGUCUAUCUUUCCCUUUCUCUCUCUCUCUCUCUCUGUCUGUCUCUCUUUCUUCGCUCUCCUAACGUUCCCCGUUGCACAGCUUACAUCACGAAGUUCGCUGCCCCCGACAGACGUAACCGUUUGUUUAUACGGCAGAACGUAAGUACACGUAACUUCGCCAUUUAGCUGCCACUCCUAUCGAUUUUUCCCUCUUUGCAUUUUCCUACCCAAUUUUCUCUUACCGCUUAUGUACAUAUAUGGAUGCAUAUGUAUGUACAUACGUACGUACGUACGUACGUACCGAGAUUCUCAGCUACAAAUCGGUCGAUGUUUAAAGAAAAAUAAAAUCGUCGUGUGUGUGUGUGUAUACAUGUGUAUGUAUGUAUAUACUUUGAGCUUAUUCCAUUUUCUCUUACAUAUAGUUAUGCAAAUUUUAACAUAGCACUUCUUGAACUUUGAUAUUUCAAAGAUAUUUAACGAGGUCGACUAUAUUACAUAGAGAAAUGCGAUUACCGGAUGAUCGAACAUUUUAUAUUUUACUAUUUUUUUCUUUCUCUUUCUCUUUUUUCUUUCUUUCUUUCUUUUUCUAGUAUGUUCUAGUUGUGAUCAUGAAGAAAAGUUAAUAGCCGGUACAAAUAUCCCGAAGCGUAUACCAUAUACACGCGUAUAUCUAUAUAUACAUACAUACAUAUAUAUAUAUAAAUAGUCUCGAUAUAUGUAUAUAGAUAUAGCCUCGACAUGUAUGUGUGUGUGUGUGUGUAGAUAUAGAUAUAGAUAUAGUCUCGGGAACAGAACUCGCGUGUUCUCUCUCCGGAGUUGACCUUUUCUCGCGUGACAGCAAGCCGCAUUCCACUUUCACGGGCGCUCUUGGAAAAUCGUUUUUAAAGAAAUUUACGAAAGAACGUAAGUACUUCUCGGAAAAUUCAACGCGUGUCUAACUACAUACAUACAUACAUACAUACAUACAGACUUAAGUUUUCGCGGAGGGUUUCGUAGAAACUUUCAAGGCCGACCGACCCUCCGCUCCUCCACCUCCUUUUACUUCCCAUUCAAUUGAAUCUUGUUGGCUUCCUUUCUUUCUUUUUCCAACAUUUCGAAAUAAUUAUAUACAUAUAUAUAUAUAUAUAUAUAUAUAUAUAUAUAUAUAUAUAUACAUACACACAAAAGACCGACAUCUUUAUUUUCAAUAAUUCGUAGUUAACGAUGUGUAAAAAAUUGUCGAAAUACGUGUCAGUUUGAACAUCGGACGAGGAAACACCGAACGUGCAUAGAAACACACACAUACACACGUGUACCACACACACGGUUAUAAAAGAAAGGAUCCAAAAAAGAACGGUGAGAAAAAGAGAGAGAAAGAAGAGAGAGGGGUGGAAGGGAGAAAGAGGAGCGAGCCAUGCUCCGCGUUGUAAGCUCACCAGAAGAGAAACGAAAGAGAUGGGAGGGGUUCGUAGGGAUGAGGAGGGAGAGGAGGAGUCAUGGGAGGCAAAUGAAACGUUGACGAGGAUUUCGCGAGUCGUGCUGAGUCGGAAAUUAUACGUCCGCCUCGACGGACACAACGUGUUUCCAACGUUUUUACGAAGCCACGCGCGUACAAUGUUCCCUCUGUCCUCCUUCCUCUCCUCUCUCCAACCAUCCCCUUUUUCUCUCCAUCAUUUUCUCUCUUUCAUUCUCUAUAUCUACUAUCCUUCUCUUGCUUUUAUCCGGGCGAUGGAAACGUCGAGUUAAACGGAAAAUCGCUAAACCGUAUCGCGGCUGACUGGCCAACAACGUACAGUGGCUCUCCAAACUAUUCUCAUCUCGGUUAACAAAACUCUUCCCCCUCCCUUUUCUCUCUCUCUCUCUCUGUUUAUCUGUCUGUCUCUUUCUCUUUCUCGUGAUAUCUCGUCCUGUCUGCCGCCGACGGCUGAAACAACGGACGGAACGUUAAAUAGAGCCGACUUCGUUAUAUUUUCCGCAUGCAAUUAGGAAGGAUUAAAGACUCGAUACGCGAGAAUAAAUUCAUUUAGCGUGGCUAACCAACAGCCAACGGUUGUUGAUGUUUUUCAAACGAUAUCUUUAUUUGCACGAUUGUAUGCUCAAAUGUUUUUCUAUGUUUUGUUUCGUUUUCUCUCUUUUCUUUCCUUUUUUUUUUUUCUUAUUUUUAAAUCACUCCUCUCGUACGACAAGACCCGGUGUGUCCUGUUAAACCCGUAGUCUCCGUGAAACGAAUUUUCUUUUACGAAUCUAUUAUAAUGGAGACGACGUUCUCUAUGUUCGGACCGUCUACAGGAUGGAAAAAAAGUUUGUAGUCUAGAUCAGUACGUCGUUGUCGUUUAUCCUUCGCGGUUGUCCUACUUUUUCUCUCAUUUUUUUUUCUCUCGUUUUUUCUCUCUCCCUCUCAUUUUUUUUCUUUUUUUUUUUUUUAUGUCACGGACCGAAUCGUGAAAAUUUGUUCGAGAUUCAUCCGCGGUUCUUUGUUUGUCUCUCUGUGUGUUAGCUGCCACACUGUAUAAACACAGCGGGGGAUAGUGCGAUGAGUAGAGCACGGGUUAUUACUGUGAUUGGACGGGCGCUUGUAAUUAACUCUUCGGCAUCCUGCUAUCGCGAUGAUUCGUGUGCAUACAUAUGCUACUAUAAACCCUUCUCGGAUGGAUGUUAUUUCACACCGGUAUUUAUAAAAAAACUCACACCACCUUUACGGUUUAUCUCAUUCAUUUGUAAAUUGAUACUACGCCGGCAAUGCGUGUCAGAGAAUCCAUUAAAAAUCGAUCCCCUUUGUGUAGUCGAUUAUUUUUUAUCGCGAGAACGAUUCAUUUUGCGCGUUGUUUAAAUAGAAAAAAAAUAAGAAAAGAACAAAAAAUUAAAGAUAUACUUACACACACAUAUAUAUAUUUAUAUAUAUUUUUGUACAUAUAUUUAUAUAUUUAUAUAUAGUUUGUAAACAUUAAUUUGCGGAAAUGAAAAAUCAUUCUCUCUCUCUCUUCUUUUUUCCUUUUUCUCUCUCUUUAUGCUUAUACCGGUGAAUGGGCAACUAUUUUGCAUAGAUCUCGAGGGCCCAACAAAAGGUUCGCUAUAAUGUCGCUAAAGCUCGGAUCUCCGAGAAAGCUUCGGCUUAAUCUUCAUUAGAAUUUCUGAUUUGCAAUCCGAAAGAGUCGGAAAUGUUGCAGGUUGCACGGGCUAUGAGUACCACCGUUCCAACCUGCUCUCCUCUUUCUCUCUGUUCCUGGAGAAAGGUAGACCACCUGCUGUUAAAUAUUUCAUAUUUCAUUUCGAGAAUCUCGCUUAAUGGCCGUCACCUUUUGCCCUUCGCUUUGACCGAAACAACGAAAAAGAUAUAAAAAGUAGAAAAAAAGCAUAGAAAUACAAAAAAAAAAAGAAAGAUUAUAGACCAUAAAUAUCUAAAAAAAAAUUCGUUCUUUUUUUGUGCUUUAUUCGACGUAGAAAGCUUUUUUUUUUUUUCAAGAUAUCUCAGAUGUCCCCUUGUUCCAUCGUAUUUCUGGCUGGGAUUCGAGAGAAUCCGACGAUGCAUCUGGAAUAUUUUUCUUCUCGCAUAAAUAGAGAAUAGGUUGGUCUCCCCUCUCUCUCUCUCUUUCUCUCUCUCUCUCUCUCUCUCUCUUUCUCUUUCCCCCUACUAUAAAGAUCUGUUACUUUGAAAAACUUACGAGAAGGUAAAGAACGAAAAGCGACGAAUUAUGAAUAAAGCUUUGCUCGCUCAGCUUUAUUCGAAAAUGCGAGACAUCGUUCGCGACACUUACUCAAACAUACGUACUUACUUUACUAGCUGCGUGCGUAUUGUGUACUUACAAAAAGAGAUAAUGUAUAUAUAUGUACAUACGUACGUACACACACAUCAUAUAUAUAUAUAUAUAUAUGUAGAUAUAUACCAUACUUAUAAGGUACACGUACAUAUGUAGACACGUGUAAGUACGUAUUAUGUACGUGUGUUGUAUAGGUAGUAGCAGGAGCAGCGUACCAGGAGCAUUGUUCGAGAGUCCUAUUAAUAUUGCAUUCCAUCGGAAGUCCGUAUACAGGGUAGAACGCGCUCCACAUAUAAAGUUCGUAUCAAUAUUGAUUCGCCGGCCGGCGUGAAUGGGAGCUCUCGUGCAAACAGACAGGUCUUCCGCUUAUAGAGAUUUCAAAAGACGCCGUUCCCGUCGUCGAUGCCGUACACCGGCUCGUCUGCAUCAUCUCCGAAGGCAGAGGAGAAACGAAAAAAUUCUUCCUUUCAUCCUUCCCUUCUCAUAGACCCUUUGAUAGUUGCUUAGAUUAGUACGUAUACGUGAUUUAUUAUAUUUACAUAUAUACCCGUCUCAAAGAUAAUUCGUAACUUUAGCUCGAAACGAUAAUUCGAAAUCCAAUUCGGUAGACAAAUACCAAAGCUCGGAGUACGACCUCAAGGACAAAUUUUCAUCCUUUGAUAUUUCAUCGAUCUUUCGUUUCUUACGUUUAUUUUCACUUAGAUCAAAUAUCGUUUGUAAUUAACUCUCUCUGGUAAUAACGAAUAUCAAAACAUAUACCGUGCGGAUAAAGCGAUCUACGCUUUCAUUUUAUAUUUUAUUCAUUUCUCACGAGAGAAACAACCAACGACGACAACGACGAAGACGACGACGACUACGUUCUUUUAUAGCAUGCGAUUCGAGAUUCGUGCUAUAUCACGGCGAACAUCAUUCUCGGGUGUUUGAGAUUCUCUUUCUCUUUUCUCUUCGAAAGGAAGUUUCGUUUCCGUGCUCGAAAGCGACAGCGGGUGUCCCGCUUUAAUAUCGACCAGGACGGAGGACGGAUCUACUGUCUCUAUUACUCCUUUUCGCAUCCUCCUUCGAGCUUUCAUACUGAAUCUUCCUAUUCGUCGUGUCUCGAAACGAGCAAAUAGUACUACAAGUGGCAACAGAGGCUAAAACGCAAACCUCAUUCUACGGAAAAGUAGACAAAUUAUUUCUCGAGAUCGUAAAAUCGUCAUCGUUAUCAAAAGUGGUAUUGGAGAGUUAAGAAAAAGUGUUGUACGACAGAGAAAAUAAAAAAUAUUUAGAGAUAAGUAUUACUUAUAUAUCAAAAAAUUAAUAAAAAUGUUCAACGAGAUCGUUCAGUCUCACUUUUUUUAAUCAUCUUUUUUAACUCUGUCUAAGUAAUUCGAUAAUAGCUCGAUCGCAUCGAUUCUUCGGUAUGUUCGUUGAAUUGAAACGUCAUCGAGUACACGGAUGACAUUAAUAAGUGGCUUUUCUACAAAUCGAUCGAUGCAACGUACUUAAGUAUGUACUUAAGUACACAAGUCAACUUAGGCGCUCGCGUUUUCAUUCUACCGUUGUUCUCAACGCUGUACUUUUCUCUUAUACUUUUCCUUUUCCCUCUUUUUUUCUUCUUUCACGCAAAAUAUCAAACGUUUUAAUAAGAAGCGGUCGUUUUUUUCGAAGAUGGAUAGUUAUCAAAUGUCAUUCUCGUCGACGUGUUGUAGUCGUAACGUCGAGUGCAUCUCUCUCUCCAGUUUCAAUCUCAUCCACAAGUUCUUUGUCCCUUCUCUCUCUCUUACACAUCUUUCGAGUCGUUUUCAUCGUCGACACCAAGAGAAUGAAAGAGAAGGACAGAGCACGAAAAGAGAGAGUGGGAGAGAGAGAGAGAGAGAGAGAGAGAGAGAGAGAGAGAGAGAGAGAGAGAGAGAGAGAGAGAGAGAAAGAGUGAACGUAGAGGGCAGAGUGCCAAAGACACUGCCGGGUAAAGGGGAGGAUAGAAGGGUGUCUCUAAUUGGUCCAAUCUAAGAGCUUGUCUCAAAGAGAAGUUUCCCGGUUUCCGUACUUGCUACCUUCCUGCAGCACACGUACGAGAUCUUCUAAAGGCUUAUGAGCGUCCACGUACUUUCAACCCCAAUCCCCGUCCACCCUCCUUGCAUAUACAUAUACACACGUAUACCAAGACACGGUGUUAUAUACUUAUAACGUAGAAGUACUAGGUAGAACUAGGUACGACCGGCGUCUACACUCUGAAGAAGGACAGAGACAGUCCCUGGAAGACGCACGAAAUACAAGUUGGAAACGCGACAUCAGCAACGAGAGGAUAGCCUCCAGACACGUACCAACGCAAUGUCGUCUGCUCACCCUCAUUUUCGCAGAUCCAACGACGACGUCACGAGCUUCAAAUCCCAACCCUUCCCUUUUCCUUCCAUUUUCAUCCUUUUCCAUCCCUUCUCUUUCUAUAUCUCUUCUCUCUCUCUCUCUCUCUCUCUCUCUCUCUCUCUCUCUCUCUCUGGUAUUUCUCUUUUCCUUUUUUUGUUUCUUUUUCUUUUUACUCUCCAAUUUUUACAAUUUCAAGUUUGACGGGUGAUCGUCGAAACACGAGGAUGUUGAAGAUAAUACUGAAGGCUAGCUUUCUUUUCUUCCUUCUUUCUUUCUUUUUUUGUUUCUUUUUUUGUUUUUUCUUUUUUUGCUUUUCUUCUUUUUUCUCUACUUCUAUCUUCGGUAUUACCAGAGAACGUAGGAGAAACAGGCAUAGAGACGAAUAGGAAACGUGUUUCCUACGAGAUGCGAGACUCUCGAAAAUGUCUUUCGCUCGUUCUAGUGGAGUACUUUGACUUCGGUGGAUUGAAAUGGGAAUAAAAGGCAAGAUUCUCUCUCUCUCUCUCUUUCUCUCUUUUCUCUCGUGUAGGAAAAGAAAGAAUAUUACAAUCCGCGGUACUUGUAACUCUCGUGCUCGUUCUAAUCGACGACGAUUCUUGGAUCGAGAGAGAGAGAGAGAGAGAGAGAGAGAGAGAGAGAGAGAGAGAGAGAGAGAGAGAGAGAGAGAGAGAGAGAGAGAGAGAGAGAGAGAAAUAAA